Molecule: non-coding RNA, 80 nt
Organism: Xyrichtys novacula (pearly razorfish)
Lineage: Eukaryota; Metazoa; Chordata; Actinopteri; Labriformes; Labridae
Source: the annotation of a GenBank genome assembly
UUCUUCUUCUUUUUCUUCUUCUUCUUUUUCUUUUCAUCUUCAUCAGAGGAGGAGGAUGAAGAGGAUGAAGAGGAAGAAGA